Long non-coding RNA from Cynoglossus semilaevis (tongue sole), 796 nucleotides. RefSeq lists it as uncharacterized. NCBI's taxonomy places the organism in Eukaryota, Metazoa, Chordata, Actinopteri, Pleuronectiformes, Cynoglossidae. The transcript has 2 exons. The record is from RefSeq and is a predicted model, not a curated record.
UUUGAGAGCAGAGCGCUGCUUAGUGCUGUCAGCUCUGCUCCUGACAGCGAUUUGAUCUGGAAGGAAUAUUGAAUUAACAUAUGAAUGAGCGCGCGGGCGGAGAGAGCAGCUUCCAAGCAUCGUAUUGUUGUGUAACUGGAGGCUCGGGGGCUCCUGGUGGGACCUUUACAUUAGAUUUACAUCAGAAUGAGGUGGAGUCGCAGUCUGGAGGAUUCUGUGAAUGAAACUGCUUUUUCACCAAAACUUUUCGAAACACUAAGUCCCAGGAAACCAAACCCUAAUCCACCUGUUGGCAGCAGAUGUAAAUCAGGAUAAAACUCAUGUCCAGUUCCACGGACGGAAUUCACCGGAACUCCAAAUGUUCUUCACAAACGUAAUAUCUAAGGCCCCCCCCCCCACCACCUCCUCCACUGUUACACCAACCAUCUCCCCUACAUCAGUAACUCUUUUCCUCUUAGCCCCAUCUCCAACAUUUUGGUCUGAUAUCUCCAGAAUUGUCCAAAAAGACGCUGAUCUUUUCCUCUGGGAGUGACCAGAAAAGGACAGGAUCAGAAAUGAGCCGAUCAGUUAGCUUGUUAGUCGUAGACUGGCCGACGAACCCACGCCCGGGGCCGCUGACCAGAGGUUGAAACCUCAACAAACACAUAUUAGGAGUUGAUGAUGGGAUUUGAAGCUGGAGCUGCGUUGAAACUAAAACCUUUCCCUGAGUGUGUGUAAAUAACAACAUGUGAACUGACUGUUCCUUACAGUGCACAACAAUCUGAUCAUCCAUAUGAUAAGAAUUUGUAAAAAACAA